GGGUCAGUAGGUUGGUCGUGCCACCGGUACGUACUGGUCUCACUGACUCCUCCUUCCUGAAGAACCGUAAUGCCAUUAAUUUGGUGUUGCGGGGAAACAGGACUGUUACUUUGAAAAAUUAGAGUGUUUAAAGCAAGCUAACGCUUGAAUACAUUAGCAUGGAGCAAUGAAAUAGGACGAUCGAUCCUAUUUUGUUGGUUUCUAGGAUUGACGUA
RNAcentral lists this ribosomal RNA (215 nucleotides) under Glomeromycotina sp. Its description in RNAcentral is "partial small subunit ribosomal RNA". The record is from RNAcentral. Lineage: Eukaryota; Fungi; Glomeromycota.